UCUGCCUGUAGCUGUUCCUGCAGCCUACGUUUCUGCUGAAGAUGCUUGACUUUUUGCAGAUGAGAUUGAUGCAGUGAAAUGAAGCAUCGCUGCGAUGAUAGGAACACCACCCUGGAAUGUCCCCGAGGCUCCAGGGACCACCAUUUUGUCCUGAGAGGAAAACCAGCUUCCUCCUUCAGGAGACCUGUGUGUCGCGACGAAGGGUCUCACAACUCCAGCUACCACCAUGGGCUUGAGUAUUUCAAGUCAAAACAUUCCCU
Molecule: long non-coding RNA, 260 nt
Organism: Suricata suricatta (meerkat)
Lineage: Eukaryota; Metazoa; Chordata; Mammalia; Carnivora; Herpestidae
Exons: 3
Source: RefSeq, a predicted model, not a curated record